AGUGAAUCAAUCCGUACUAAUUGAAAUUUAUUCCUCAAAUUACUAACCAUACUAUAGCGGCAUCAGCACCGAGUGAAGACACACUGAGCGAAGUAUUCCUGUAUAUAUAGUAUACAGGAAUACCUCGCUUAAUAUAUACUAUAUAGUAAGACACUGCAUAAUGCUGUUUCGAUAUAACUCGAUUUUUCAAAUUCUAUAUUUUUUAUUGAUUCACUUUGGCACAGUUUUUCAAACCAUUAUACUCACAUAAAUCCAAAGUCAGAUGAAUUUGUUAUUUUGAUGAUAAAUUCAUCUGACUUCACAGAUGCAAUGUCUUGCUUUAUGCCUUCUUGCAGUGCAUUUGAUAUCAGAGCAAUGCAGCACAUACGAAAGUCUGCUCCUGUCACAGUUCAUAUUUAUGAUCAGUCAUCAAUGUUAUUUUACAAAAGGAACUUGCAAAGGAUUUUCUCAAACAAGUUUAGCCACUAUUAUGGAAAUUAUGGAUCAGUUUAUACAAAAUGAUCUAAAUUUUGAUAGAAGUUCAAAAGCG
RNAcentral lists this long non-coding RNA (529 nucleotides) under Androctonus crassicauda. Lineage: Eukaryota; Metazoa; Arthropoda; Arachnida; Scorpiones; Buthidae. The record is from RNAcentral.